CACCUUGUACAUGAUGACUAAAAUUUCUUCACUUUGACCUGAUGGCUAUUGAAGAAAUCUAAGGUCUGAGGUG
Bison bison bison is the source of this 73-nucleotide microRNA precursor. The record is from Ensembl. NCBI's taxonomy places the organism in Eukaryota, Metazoa, Chordata, Mammalia, Artiodactyla, Bovidae.